RNAcentral lists this long non-coding RNA (16994 nucleotides) under Musa acuminata (dwarf banana). RNAcentral describes it as "long non-coding RNA (MACU_LNC001906)". The record is from RNAcentral. Lineage: Eukaryota; Viridiplantae; Streptophyta; Magnoliopsida; Zingiberales; Musaceae.
CAGUAGCAAGACUCAGAGCCUCGGCCGUAUAGAUAGCAGAUGGAUCGGAGAUGGUCAUCGUCUUCCAAUGAUCGACUCCGAUGUGAAGGUCAAAUUGUAUUAGGCUAUUCUUGGCGUCGUAGUUUCCGUACAUGAAAGUUGCUCUGACAAGAUACGUAGUGUUACGAAGCACAGGCUUUAAGGUGUAGCAAUUCCGGAGUCCAUCAGGAAAGCUUCUGAGAUUGAGUUGUUGCGUUGGAAGAGAGGAGUUUAUGUAGUUUGAUUGGAUGUCGAAAUCUGAUCCCACGUCGAUAAAUCGGUCAUCGGAGACGUAUGUUAUAUUUGUACUAUGAUCGACGUAAUCAGAUUUGGAAUUGCCACAGUCGAUGCUUAUAAAGCCAGCUAAAAAGAAAAGAAUCACAACGAUUAAUUGCAAUCAGUUCAGUAUUGUUUAAUACCACGAGCAUGAUAUUAUAUCUAUAUUUCUCCCUUUACUAUAAACUAAUUAUCUAAAAAAUGAAAGGCGAUCGCCGUGAGCGCUGACCUUGCGGCGACUGGCCAUGAGCAGCAGGAAUGGCGGCGGCGAUGGCAAAGAAAAGAGCAACCAAGCACGAAGAUGAUGAUGCCAUGUUCCAAGUUCCAAGUGUCGUUGCUGAGUUCUAUCGGUGAUUUAUAUUCGGUGGUGGAGGCGUUCGUUAACGUAAGCACAUCGCAAUCAAAAGAGAAAAAAACCUCGUUAGUUGUAGCUACGUGAGCACAUCGCAAUCCAAACAGUUCACGUUUUAUCGCAACGCGAGCACGUGGUUUGUCCACGUGUAUACAGUGACUGGGUCCCGCUUUGCACGGAUUCUUUGUAAGAGCCGCACUGGCUGAGAGCGUGCUCCUCAUUUCUUAUCCGACACCCAAUCCGGUCAACCCUAAAUCAUGUAAUCGCGUCAACGGUGGAAUGGUCAACUGGGAAGAUGACCUGCUUUGUCGACGCAAGACUUGUAGGAAAUUAAAUAGAAAGGAAAAUUACUUUUCUGAGAUAGCAAAUUUUUUAUUAUUUUCUUACGACCUCGUAUGAGAAUCACUUCACCUAAAUAUAUAAACCAAAAGUCAUAUAUAUCAACAUGUGAUUAUUAUUAUUGAUUGAAAAUAUAAGAUCAGCUAAUCAUCAUUUGUCAAGUCAAUAUCAUAUCUGAUCUCUUAUCCAUAAGGGCUGGGUCCAAAAGACAGCUCGAUUCAAUUUUGGAGCUGUCAAACUAUUAAGCUUUUGAGUUACGGAGAUGCUUCUUAGAAAGAUCAAAAAUUAGUUCAGAUCAAUUACGAAUCAGCUCCAUUAUGAAAUAUCCAUAGGAAUAUUUCAAAAAAAAAAAGGGACAAUAAAGAUCAGUUAUGAAUCAGCUCUCACAGAAGAAUUAAAACAUUAUAAAAAAGAUCAAGGGACAAUAAGGAACAAUUUUUCUAACAGUUUGUUGCAGACACAAAACUUCACCAUACACAAAUGUGGCACAGUAUCACAGAGACAGUGCAGAGACCAAACUUAUUACAUGAUGUAUUGAUGUUCUAAUCCAUUAAAACGGAGAUAUCUGCGGUCCGGUGGGUUUUCAGAUUACAGCAUAUUGUUUCAUUGUUACCUAAAAGAGAUACAGUAGUGCAUAGAUUACACAACACCAAAUUCUAUAUUUAUUCCGAUGCAGAGAUCCCCAGGAGGAACAUCCUAUUUUGUGGCAGUACGAGUGCCAACGACAGUUACAAGCACUACAUCUUACCUUAACGUGCACAACAUACACGAACAGAGACAACUGCGAUAAGUUUCAUCUGAUAGAAGGAACAGUUGGUCCCAGCAAGCUCGCCCCCAUCUCAGACGAAAUUUCUCGGCUCAUGUUAAAUCCUUCAAUAUAUAUGAUAUCGCUCCUGUCAGAGGCAAUCUCUGGCUUCAAGCAGCUCUUCAGCUGCGUCACUACUUCAAACAUUGUCGGCCUCUGGCUGCCUGGAUCUGCGGUGCACCUGAGAGCUAGAUCCAGGAUCUUCCACGCAGAAGUGGCAUCAUAUUCUCCUUGCAGAGUUUCAUCCAUGAUUUCUUCUAUGCAACCCCGAGACAGACUUGUGGCAAUCAACUUAACAAUGUGAACAUUUCCUGGACCGGGCACGAUCGGAGGUCUGCCGGUGAUCAGCUCCAGGAGAACUACACCAAAGCUGUACACAUCACUCUUCUCGGUGAGCUGGUAGUUUUGAUGGUACCUAAUGAAACAUAAACAUGAUACUCAUUGGUCAGUUGUAAUCCAUAAUGUAUUAGUUAUCCUCUAUGGUCGAGCACACUAAUGCAUAAUAAAUGUCUGCCUUUUGUCAACUAAAGGUUCAAAACACUCCAAGAAGAGAAUCAAAUUGCCAUCUUGGUUAACCAGAAAAAUGGAGAUCCAGUUCAAGGCCAAGGAGUAGUAAUUUGAAGUUAUGGCAAGGAAAUGAAUCCUACUAUGUUGCUUUGGCAAUUGAACUGACUAUUCCUCAAACCUGCAAACUGGAUCUGGGAAUUAAAACAUGGCAGCUCAGGAAGUCAUAGAUCAAGAAUUCUGCUAUCUGACAUUCAAAGAUCUCCACAUAUCCAUGUUGAUCAUAGUGUUUGAAAUAUUAAAUUUAAGAAAAAAAAAACCAUAUUUAGUUCAAAGUUCAAACCAAAUACUGAUGUCUCAUCCAAGUCCAAUAGGUCAGCUGCAUCAAGUCAAACUAGUAUCAUAAUAUAUCUAGAAUUAUGAAUGUAUAGCAAAAGAACAUAUUGAGGACAUAAAACCUAAGUAUGAAGAGAUCGUAAUACCCCCAACUAAUCUUACCUUUGAAAAAUGAUGAUGGGUUAGAUUAGCAUGGACCGAUUUUAUAGGGUAACUACUAAAAAUUUAGCAUGAAGUAUAUUCGGUUACAUAGUUAAAGUUUAAUUCUUUUUAGAUCACUAUACCAGUGGGCCUAUUAGAUUGGGUGGUGACAGGAAGACAUACUAAGAUAAAUGAAUUCAUUUUCCAUCUUAUUUUUCUGCACAUUGUCGCUUCUACAUUGAGAUGUAUGAAUAAAUUGUUUAUAAAUAAUUUAGAGUGGGGUAAAAAGAGUGUAGAAAACAUACUCGGGAUCAAUAUAUCCAGGGGUGCCAACCACUGUCCCUGUGGACACAUAGGUUUGCUCAUCGCUAUGGAAAGAUUUGGAUAACCCAAAGUCCCCUAUUUUAGCCUCUAGUUCUUCGCUCAAGAGAAUGUUGCUGCUCUUGACAUCUCUAUGGAUUAUUGGAGGCUUGCAUCCUUUGUGCAAAUAAUCCAGCCCUGUCAUAUAAAAUAGAGAUUAAGUAAUUAUACCAAACGCAAGUACACAGACAAAAGAUUCUCCAAAACCUUGUGCAGCAUCCAGUGCAAUUUGAAGCCGCUGUCCCCAACUCAAGACUUUGGCACAACCAGCCUUAACUGUGAUGAUUAUAAGUUAGAAAACCCAUGGAGACAACUUUAACAAAAUAUCAGCAGGAAAUAUCUGUGGAGAAGUUACUUCUUAAACUCAUAGUUACUUGCUGCAUAAUUUCUAAGAUACCUCCCUCAACUGAUGUGUUUCAAGCAAUGAGCCAAGAGAUAUAUUAAUCUUCAACAGUCUGGUAUACCCUAUGUCCCUAUCAGCCCCUUAAAAAAAAUGAUUCCAAGUAUUUUACCCCUUCCUAAUCAAGAAAAGUUGAACAUUCGACUUCAAAUUUAACUAACUUUGUAAUGAUCCUCCAAGUCCCUAAACUUCUUUCUCAAUCAUUGUGCAUAAUAAAAUAAUAUACAUUAAUCAUUUAAUAGGAAAGCAGUGAAGCCUCAGGAGGAGAACUAAAUAAUGUCCUUUGCGAUUCAAAAUUGAACUUAAAAAAUAGUUGUUACAGUCUUCAUGUUCAGCAUCACUAAACCUCGUAGAUGGUCUCGAAGGCUUCCUUGCUUCAUGUAUUCGUAAACAAGAGCUAGGCAAUUCCCAUCCAUGCAAUAACCAACCAGAGAAACCAGAUUCCUGUGGUAGAUUUUCGUCAGGUUCUGGGCCUGCAGAAUGAAGUGCAAAAUGUUGUCAAGAAAUAUUCUAAAAAAUAAAUUGUUAUAUGGAAUAGCUACAAGCUAUGUAAGGUAGCAUUCUGACAUCAAUACCAAGAAAGAUGUAAGCUGAAUUAACCUUCAGCUGUUUAAAAGGAUUGUUUUGGCAUCUCAUCUUGGUUAGCAUCAAUACCAACCUUUUCAAUUCAGGAGUGUUAAGACUAGCCAUUUAAACUUUCGAGAUUUGUGGUAACUUAAUCGAAAUCUUGGUCAUGAUGUAAGAACAUGUUAUGAGUUUGAAGCCUAUACUUGCCCCCUUUUUUGUUUCUGUUAGUUUGGCAAGUCUCAUAGUCCCACAUCGGGAAAAUCAGGUUUGUUAUCUCCUAUUGGAACUAUAAAUAAGAGUCUGGACUUUGAAGUCAGAUGCACCACAAGAAAAACCUAAGUGUUUGCUUUGGGUUUAAGUCCACACUCAGUUAAAUAGUUUGGGCUUAUAGUUUGAGUUUUUCUUGUUUAAUAGAUUUGGGUGUUUUAUGGCCUAAGAACAUCUUCCUAAGGCAUUUGUAAUAGUCUCUCUUUUAUAGUAGUGAUUUGCUCCUCUUUCCUCCGUGGAUGUAGGUCAAGGUCAAUUGACCGAACCACGUAAAUAUGGUGUUUUUGUCACUUUUAUCUUUUCGCUUUAUUAUCUUUGUUGGGUUGCCAAAAUUACCCUUUGGUAAAUUUUCUAGGGCUAGCUCUAACAAACUGGUAUCAGAGCCUGGUUUCGGAAUCUUUUGACAACGAUGACAAUAACAAAGAUCAUUUUCGAGAAAUUUGACAGAAAUGUCAACUUCGACAUGUGGCAACUCAAGAUGGAGGCCAUUCUGGUUCAAGACGGAGUUGAUUUGGCACUACAAAGAGCUGAGAACAUUCCAGAUGGUACGUCAAAAGAAGAUCUUGCAGGUAUGGAUAAGAAGGCCCGAUCCAGCAUUAUUCUAAAUCUCUAUGACGAGGUUUUACGGGAGGUAGCUACGGAGACUACGGCUAAGAGCAUGUGGGACAAGCUUAAAGCCUUGUAUAUGAAGAGGACAGUAGAGAAUCGUCUCUACUUAAAGCAGAGUUUGUAUAUGCUUCGAAUGACUGAAGGUACAUCUAUACUCUCACAUCUUGAUAAAUUUGAUUCCUUGGUUAUGGAUUUGGAGAAUAUAGAUACAAAAAUUGAUGAUGAGGAUAAGACCCUAUUACUUUUGUGUUUUCUUCCUCAAUCUUUUAAGUAUUUCCGUGAUACUAUGAUUUAUGGAAAAAAAAUAAUUUCGUAUCAAAAAAUUAAAUCUGCACUAAAAUCUAAGGAGCAGAUAGACAGAGAUAUCAUUGGGGAAAGUAGAGGAAAUCAGGCUGAGGGUCUGGUUGUUAGGGGUAGAAUGGAUAAAAGAGAAUUUGACAAUAGAAGAUCUAAAUCUAGAUCUAAAUUCAGACAUAGAAAUUUGGAAUGCAUAUAUUGUCAUAAAAUAGAGCACAUUAAGGCUGAUUGCUUUAAAUUGAAAAAUAAAUUAAAGCAAAAGGAAAAAAUUGUUGAGAAAACUAUUAAGUCUGCUGAAGCUAGUGUAGCAGCUGAUAAGAAUGAUGGAAAUAUUUUCUUUGCUACUGAUAACAAGACGAGGUCUAAAAAUGAAUGGAUUUUAGAUUCGGGUUGUUCUUAUCAUAUGUGUCCUAAUAGAGAUUUGUUUUCCACAUAUGAAUCUUGUAAUUGUGGAAUUAUUUUGAUGGACAAUAAUGCAGCAUGUGAUGUUGUUGGUAGAGGAACAAUCCGAAUUAAAAUGCAUGAUGGUAUUGUGAGAAUGCUCACUAAUGUUAGACAUGUUCCCGAUUUAAAAAAGAAUCUCAUCUCUUUAGGCACCCUAGAGGCCCUUGGGUGUAAAUACACAACUGAAGGUGGAGUUAUGAAAGUUUCUAGAAGUGCCCUUAUUGUUAUGAAAGCUUGUAGGUCUGGUAGCUUAUAUAUUUUGUAGGGAACUACUGUCACAGGCUCGGUUACAGUCUCGUCAUCAUCAUUGUCUGAUUCUGACAUCACCAAAUUAUGACAUAUGUGUUUGGGUCAUAUGAGUGAAAAAGGUUUGAGCAUAUUGAGCAAAAGAUGUCUACUUUGCGGACAGAGUACUGGGCCACUGGAUUUUUGUGAACACUGUAUUUUUGGAAAGCAGAAAAGAGUCAGCUUCAAUUCUCCGACAGUUCACAAAACAAAAGGUACUCUUGACUAUAUUCAUUCAGACCUUUGGGGUCCAGCUCAUGUUCAGUCUAAGGGUGGUGUUAGGUAUAUGUUGACUUUCAUUGAUGAUUAUUCCAAGAAAGUUUGGGUUUAUUUUUUGAAGCAUAAAAAUGAUAUUUUUUUAACCUUUAAACAAUGAAAGGCUUUGAUUGAGAAGCAAACAGGUAAACAGAUUAAGCAGCUUCGAACAGAUAAUGACAUGGAAUUUUGUGAAUGUGACUUUAAUGAAUUCUGCAAAAAUGAAGAAAUCGUUCGGCAUCACACUGUUAGGAUGACGCCUCAACAAAAUGGUGUGGCCGAACGUAUGAACAUAACACUCUUGGAGAGAGCAAGAUGUAUGAUCUCAAAUGCAGGGUUGACAAAGGACUUUUGGGCAGAGGCGAUUACUAUGGCCUGUUACGUUGUCAACCGCGCUCCUUCUGCAACACUUAACUUUAAAACUCCGGAGGAAGUUUGGUCAGGUACUCCUACUGAUUACUCUGAUUUAAAAAUUUUUGGGUGUCCAGCAUACAUGCAUAUAAAUAAAGGAAAAUUAGAGCCUCGAGCUAAAAAAUGCAUUUUCCUUGGGUAUACUUCUGGGGUGAAAGGAUACAGAUUAUGGUGUUCUGAUCCCAAAUCCCCAAAAUUUAUAAUCAAUAGAGAUGUUACUUUUGAUGAAUUGUCUAUGUUAUCUUUCAAAGAGGAAUCUACUAGUUGUAUAAAUGAUAGUGCACAGAAGCAGGUGGAGCUUGAGAUUUGUAGUUCAGAUUAUUUUAAGUCGAACUCUUCUACUCAAAGAAUGCUAAUAGAUGGUCCCGAUUCUACUGAUGUAGAUAAUCCAGAGGAAGAGCAAUAUUCCAUAGCCAAAGAUAAACCACGGAGAAAUAUUCGACCACCACAAAGAUAUGCAAAUUUGAUUGCAUAUGCUUUGUCUGUUGUAGAAGAAACAAGUGAAGUUGGUGAGCCUACUUCCUACUCAGAUGUAGUUUCUUGUGAUAAUUCCGCUAAGUGGUUGAUUGCGAUGAAUGAAGAAAUAGAAUCUCUCCUUCAGAAUAGAACUUGGGAUCUUGUGAAGUCGCCUUCGAGUAAGAAAAUUGUUGGAUGCAAAUGGGAUACUAUUGCUGAGGGAAAGGUUCUUGUUCAGAAAAUUCAUACCAAGGACAAUCCAGUUGAUAUACUUACGAAGCCUCUUCCAGUUUACAAAUUCAAGCAGUGCUUGGACAUGAUUGGUGUUCAUUGUUUGUGAUUGUCCGUUGAGGCUUUUAUGAAGAAUGUAGAGCAAGUUUUGUUUGGACAUGCUAAGGUGGAGAUUUGUUAGUUUGGUAAGUCUCAUAGUCCCACAUCAGGAAAAUCAGGCUUGUUAUCUCCUAUUGGAACUAUAAAUAAGGGUCUGGACUUUAAAGUCGGAUGCACCACAAGAAAAACCUAAGUGUUUGCUUUGGGUUUAAGUCCACACUCAGUUAAAUAGUUUGGGCUUAUAGUUUGGGUUUUUCUUGUUUAAUAUUUUCGGGUGUUUUAUGGCCUAGGAACAUCUUCCUAAGGCAUUUGUAGUAGUGAUUUGGUCCGUGGAUGUAGGUCAAGGUCAAUUGACCGAACCACGUAAAUCUGGUAUUCUUGUUGCUUUUAUCUUUUCGCUUUAUUGUCUUUGUUGGGUUGUCAAAAUUACCCUUUGGUAAAGUUUUUGGGGCUAGCUCUAACAGUUUCAUCUUGUUCUUUAACUAAUAUUUGUGAAAUUUUUUACUCUGUAUUUGACUUCGACCAUACAUUUGGGUUCAAUUUUACAUGUCAAGUUUAAAUCGGGGAGAGAGGAACGUUAGACUUCAUGAAUAUAUUUGACUCUUUACUACCAACUUAAGGUUUUCGGGAUUUGUGACAACCCAAUAAAAAAAUUUUAUCGAGUAACAAUCACACUCAAGUCAUCUAAUAGUCUUAUUUCGAAGGUCAAAUAAAAUUUCUAUACCUCAGCCAAAAAUUCCUUCAUUCCUUGUGGUGAUGAUACAGAACGCAUCUUGAUCGCAACUUGCUUUCCAGUUUCCAAGCAACCAUGAUAAACCAUGCCGAAACCUCCUUUCCCGAUGACCGUUGUAAACUUAUUGGUUAUGUUCUCCAACUGUGUGUAUGUAAACUGCCUACUCUCAAAUGAAAUUUGAUGCUCUCUCUGCUGAGAGUAGACUACAACACUACGUGGCUGCACAGAGGUAUUAGAGGACCGACCUAUCAGAAAAGAACAAGAAGUUGACCAUUAGCACUCAAUGCAGAAUUUGAAAAUGACGGUGUCGUACACCAAGCUCAUUUUUUCUCUUCAAAUUAUUACCUUGCUGCUUUCUGAUGUUCCAUACCACAGUUACCAAUAUUACCACAAGAAGUAGCAGCCCAGACACUGCUGCAAUAAUUACAAUGAUAGCUAUUUUGGACCUUGAUGAAGAUGCUUUGUUACAGCCAUUUUUGUCAAGCCUGACAUCAAGAAUGUUUAAAAACUAUCGUCAGUUGAUGUAAGCUCCAUAUAGGCAGUAGGGAAAAGUCUGGCAGCAAUCAACACUUGUUCAGUUAUUGCAUGACAUUAGUGAAUAGAGCUAGAAGAUGGCAAGUGCACAACAUUAAUCCCGAUAACCCUUACUCUAAAUUUCACUUGUAAAAGGAGGUUCAAGACGACGAUCUUAGUAGACUCCAAAAUCAUAUCGUGAGUUUAACAAACAACCACAAUAACAACAAAGCUAAGUCUCAAUUAUUUGGGAUUGAUUUCAUGGAUCUUUUGCCGUCAUUCAAAUCUGUCAUAUAACGAGUUAAAUAUAUAAAAAAUAAUUUAUGCCACCCCAAUCAUUCUAACAAGCUAUAUUUCCUACCUUAGAAUGAUUAGGAAAUAUAACUAGCCUUUUUGUCAACUAAAAGUCGUUCACCAAACAUGCAAUUCAACUAGCCUUUUUGCCAACACUUUUUCACCAACCAACAAACAGAGAAAGAACACAAGCCUCUUUCAAACUGCAACACUAUCUGAAGAUCCAAAAAUUAUAAAAAUCUUUUUUGUCAAAAAAAUCUAAAAAUCAAUCAGCUUUAACCAGCUGUGUGUUUCAUGCCAAUUUUCGCACAUAAAAAAUUGCCAAAUCUUGUGCAUGAGUAUUUCAGUUGGUAUUGUUUAAUUUUAAAAAAUAGUUAAGCAUAGAAAUAACCCAUGGUAACAUUACCCCCCAAGUAACUCAGUGUUUCAAUUACAAGCCUAUGGUUUAAAGAAUUUGGUAAAUGGAUUAUGAUUUUGUCCAGUUGCAUAUUCUAUUGACCAUUUGUGCUUCAUUGCUCUAUUGUUUCUUUAUUUCUUUGUAAACUAUUUAUAUGCUUACCUUGUCCGUUGGGAAUUCACUCGAGUCAAUAAUAACACAUGGAAAGGAUGUUUGGGGUGGUAAGACAACAUAUUCACAUGAUGACCCAUUAUUCAUUAGCUUAAGAUUUUGCAUUGUGGCAUCCUUGUGUGUGUAUGUGCAUGAGCCUUCUUAUUGGUAGGAGACUUUGGGUCCGAUCACCCACCCCCGCGACAAGUGGCAUUAAAGCUCAUAUAUUGGUUUGUAUAGAUCAGUGCCAGACUCAAGAGACAUUAGAAUGUGAAAUGGCUAGUGUCUAGUUCAUGAGCCAAGUAAGAAGUCGUGUGUUCAGAUGUGAUUAAUUUGCUUGGUGAGAUAGGUUUGAUUUCUACGGUGUGAUUUAUUUGGAAGCCCAUAAUCCAUAACUUGUGGACAUCAUAUGGCUGACCCAUACAGGAAACCAUGAACAAUGUCUUGCACAUAGUAAAUUGAUGAGAUUGUCGGGUGUUCAGUUUGGAUUCAAGCGUUUGUUGGGUACUCAUUUGUGAUUAGAUAGAUUUACAUGUGAAAGAUAUGAGAUUAAGUAAAUUCAUUGUAGUAUGCACUUGUGAGUAUGGAAAAGAUAUUGAAUAUAUAUGAGACUUGCACAAAAAGGGGGUGGCCUAGUGCAUAAAGCUCUGGAAAUGCUAGAUUUGGGAGGAUCAAUGUACAUAGUCUUGCCCAUAUAAGCAAAAAGACUGUUGUUGAUGUGUGUGCAGUGUGUCUGGGAACCUCGCUGAUGUUCGCAUGGAACCUUCUAUUGGCAAGGGAAUUUGAGUAAGAUUCUGCUUCCAAGACUCUCAUCAUGUUCAAAUCAACACUCAUGUAUUCACAUCUAUAUUUUGUGCUUUACACAAGGCAAGCCUUAUUCCUUUCAGGAAGAAAUUUGCAUAAUGGCUUUCCACCAGGUACACAGUUUCCAUACAUUUCUGGAAGUGACUAAUUAGUACAAGGAAGCAACUUAGGUAAGACGAGACCAAUGCAGAAAUGGAGGAGAGUGGAAGUAAGCUUCAGGUACUUUAAUAGUUCCAUGGCAUAGAAUGUCUGAUAUGAAUAAUCAAAGUGGUAUAUGAUGCUACUGCUUUAUAAGAAGAAUGGACAACCUAUGUGACCACAUACAAAAGUACUUCUUGAUAUGAUCUAGAAUUCUGGUGAGUUCUGGGAGUGCCGUAUUAUGUUGGCACAAGUACCUUUUCACCAAGUAAGAUAUAUUUGGAAUAGUUUCCGUGGACAAAAGGAAUGCAGUCUGGUAGGAUGAGAACACAAUAUUUAUUGAUAUAAUCCCUAAAACAUACAUGAGCUUGAUAAAAAAAAACAAACCUGAGUGUAAGUAACCCAGCAUCUGACCUUUUGCAGAGUUUUUCAGGAACAGAUCCAUUGAAAUUGUUUCCUGCCAAAUUUCUGAAACAAUACAUUGCUCUUCAAUAUUCCUAUUUUUCAUCUAUGUUCCGGAUCAAAAGUUGAAUAACUUACAGAAUUUGGAGUGAUACAAGAUUUUCAAGAGAAUCGGGUACUGUUCCUGUUAAAUUGUUAAAAGACAAAUCUCUGCGAUAUAACGUAAAAAAGAAUCACUAUCAAGCAGCAAAAGUCCUUGAGAAUCAAAAAUUAAUCCAGUGAACUUGAAUUUUGUCAAGUGAUUGCUUGAAACAGCAUAAACUUUUGACGUUAAUCUUAUAUAUCAAAAGCCUGCAAAACUUUGAUGCGAAACACUUACAGGACAACGAGAGAUGAUAAACUGCCUAGAAAAUCAGGUAUUGCUCCACUAAAGUUGUUGUGAGACAAGUCCCUGGAAUUGAAAUUAUAUAUUGAUCAUUUAGUGCGUGAACAGCUCGACAUAACAACUGUGCUCUCUGCAUUACAUGAAGUCAACAGUCUACCUUCCAAAACUGAAAUCAUAAUUAAAGCUAACUGAUGAAUAGCAAGUUUUGCUGGAUAAAUAUACAACACCAUUCAGACCCGAGUGAUUCAUAUGAAGACAUGAUUUCCUGUUCAUCUAGCAUGGAAGGCCAUGCGUCUUUUUAGCUGUAAUAUUCUGAGCAAUACCAGAAGAAGGCUCUCGUACAGCUCCCAUGAGGUUAUCCAUAGUGUGGUCAAGAUAUGCAGCGGACUUGUACCCAUGAGGUUAUCCCUUUACAAAAAAUGCUUCUAGUGCUCUGACAUGCAGCGGGCUUGUACCCAUAAUGUGAUUGGUGUUGUCAAAGUGUAUUUACAUCCUUUACAGUAGCUUAAACCAUUCAUAAAGCCAUAUGUUCUUUAGCACAUGAAGCUUGUUUCUCACGUAAGAGCUUCUUAACAUGCGAACUGCAGUAAUUUAGCCUCUAGGUUUAAGUCUUAAAUGUACAGAUCAUAUCGAGAUCUCCAAGAAGCAUUCCGACCUUCUAUGUUGAAUAAUGCCUUUUGUAAAGGGAAUAGAGGCAAUAGGUAAGAUAAGCUAGUCAGUGUAAACCCACAAAAAAAUGCCUGCAACCAUUGAAUGACAUGUAAGCACCCUUUGGUGCACAGUUAUUAACUAGCUGAUUUAUGUUGCAAUGUAAGCAUAAGCUGUGUGUUGUUUUCUUUACUUGCAUAACUGAAACACUAAAACCAUUUCAAGAACACCUGUUAUAAUGUGGUUCUGCAUUAUGUGGUGGUCAUGCCUAUAGAGCCCCUUUUUCCAGCAACUGCUUAGAGGAUCACUUCCGUUUAGCCCAUGCAUUGUCUGAGAGAUUAACAACCGGACGAAAAUAGACAUCAUACCUAUCUAUUUCUUGAUCGAUAAUCAUUAUACUUUGUUGACCAAGUUACGACUGGAACAUCGGUAGAAAAAAGUUGUCAUAUAAUGUGAGACAGCCUAUGUUGAUUUUUAUUACCGUACACAGAUUUUUGCUAGCCUUCCCUGAGAAUCGAACAGCGGACAUUAAACUGGUAUGGACCAGGAGAAUUAGUUACUAAGUAAGCAACUGUAUAUAUCUUACUUGCACUCAUGCAAGAACUAAAUUUUAUAAAGGUAGCAUCGAUAUUGAUCAGAGAAAUUAACCCAUGGCACAUUACUGGUAUUGGCUCAGAUAAUUAUUUGUGACUGGUUAGACAUGGUGAUGCUUUCAAUUGUGGAUCAAAUUAAGAAGUUUGCUUAUGCAAUAUACUAAUUGUCUCGUUCAACAUUGCUGACAGAAAUAUGAUAUUAGGAGAAGCAAUCUGGGUCGUUGACUGAAAUAUUUCAAUAACUUAUAACCCAAAUUACUUGCUCUAGAAAAGAGAACAAAAGCAAGUUGCACUUACAGGUACUUGACAGCUUCAAGCAUGGCAAAAGAGAUGUAUAUUUCACCAGUCAAUCCUGUGGAAGUCAAAUUUCUGCAAAAUAUUGCAUUUUACAAAACAUUAUUUGAGUACAAGUUUUAAUAAUAGCCUCAAUGAUUCCAUCAAAUGAAUUUUUUUCUCCCUCUUUUAAGUUUCUUGAACACUUACAUAUUUGUGAUCCUCGGUGGAUCAGUAUUGUAGCUACAAUUCAAGCCAUCCCAUAUGUAUGCUUUUGGAGCACAUGGAUCACCCAUCCAAUUUCUCUUAAGUUGAUAGUGUGAUUUGAUUGCCAUCAUGGCGUCAACUGGUAUCCAGGAAAAUGCAAGAAGAAUUAACACGCAUUAGUGUAUACUAGGAACAUGAUUUUUUUAAUAGAAAAUAUUCACUAACUAAAAUGCCCAUUUUAAUUUGGUAUCAGGUGUUCCCAGCCAGUAAUGAGAUAGAAAAAUAGAAUAAACAAAAUAUUUUUGAGUGAGUUGUAGAAAUUAAGAUGUUACUUAUGGUUGCAAUCACAUAUAUGACCAAGCAUCAAUGUAGAAUAAUAAUCUAUAUAUUGAUACCACAUGUGGGUGUGCUACAUAAUAUUCCCUAAUUAUUUUCAUAAGGCAGUGCUGCAAGUAAUUUGUGUCCAAUAGCAAGAUUUAGUUAUGAAUACUCCAGUAUUCCUUUUGCUUUUGGACUAGCUACAUGCCCAAGUUCAGUUUGUGGAACUUGAAUUAAACAGGGAGAUACAUUAACCAAACUACUCUCUAUUCUGAAUUCUUAUACCACGGUUCAAAUUAAUUAUCAGCAACUCAUCUUAAAAAUGAUUUAUCAGAAAUGACAGAAUUUAGUAUUUUUAUUCUAAAAGCUGUAACUAGACAUAUCAUUUCCAAGAAAAAUAACCAAACAAAUCUUGUAAAGUCAAGAUCGUGUGGAAUGAGUAAUCAGAAAUAGCUAGACUAUCCAUGUUAAGACACAUCGAGUUACAGUAAAACUGGCCACAAAAAUUUAUCUUUUGGUUCUCAGCAUGCUCUGUUCCAGAUAGCUAUGCUGUUGGAAUGAGAAUUUACCACUGCAAGUAAAGCUAUUCUUAUUUAAAUUCAAAAUAGUAUCAUUUUCAUAUUCCAACACUUGAAUGGUGCUUUGUGGUCAAACUACUACAACUUGUUUGAUCCUCAGUAGGAAUCUGUUUUGCAAAAUUUAAGGAAAAAAAGAGGAACGUGCGAUCCCUGGAAUCUUAGACUCACUGUCCAAAAUUUGGAUAAGUACGUACAGUCAACGUGAGAUAUUAGCAUAGUCACAGUUAUUUCCAUUUCAAAAAAAAAAUCCAGAUAACGUAUGUAGAAAAUUAUCCUGUCUGCUUGGCAGAUUGAAUCUUAUGAUCCACCAAUGGACCACCAUGCUUUGAAGUCUUAUUCCAAUCUGAAAUUUGCAACACAAACAAAUAUGAUAUUGAGUGCAGAGCCUGACUCACUAAAUGGUGCAAAGUAAUUGCAAAAGAAAUGAUGUGAACACAAUUAGUACCCAUCCAAUUUAGCACAAUUACAAAUAGAAAGUAUUGGAUAUGCUUUCACUCAAAGUUUGCUCAACGGGUUCCAAUUAGUAUCCAUCCGUGGGCUUGGCGAACACAAUCAGAUCAGAUCAAAAUUAGCCUAACCUAAAGUCGGGCUGCAUUAAAAGAACCCAUUCUUCCAUCUUUUCUUUCUGUUUUAUCAUUAAAUUUACAACUCUUAAAAUGUUGGAUUUCUUUGUCUUGAUUAAAGGAAAAUGUGGUUUGUUGUAGUCGUUGCGACACAAACUAUUCCCAUCUUGUCACUUAGUUGAACCCUCUAUCUAUUAGUCCGUACAAGGUAGAGUUCUAAAACAUUAAAAACUGCUGCAGAGAAGACUGGCAAUUCACAAUCGACACGCGAAAAAAUGAAAACACGGACAUCAAUUUUCCUAAUCUGACAUAUUAGCAAUGAUAAUUAUUAAUUUGGCUGCAUUCUUGAUGACAAGAAACAAAGAUAAAGCUUCGAUUACUUGAAGGUGAAGGAGAAGGCUGCAGCGCCUUACCGUCUCCGGAAUCGGUGGCGGCUUGUGUGAGCUGCAUCAACGAGUAGACCUCGAAGGCGUUGAUGAUGGGCGGGAGGGUGGAGUCGCUCGUCGCGUUCAGAACGUAUUCGUACCGAGAAGAGCCCUUAAAUGGCACAAUGUCGUGCAUGCCGCCAGCCGACCGGUAAGGCGGACUGUAUGAGAUAUACCACAAAUGCCCAUUGCGGUUGAUGUUGAACACCCUCGUCGCGUUUCCCGUCAGUUUCUGGAGUUCGGUGAAGUGCAGAAUGGUGUAAAGCUCGUCGUCGAGGGAGACGGAGUCCCAGGAGAAGGCCAGUUGCGAACCACUGACCGGAGUCACCGCCGUCUGCAUCACGGCGGACGGCGGCUCAAACAUAUUGCCGCUAUUGUUCACCGUCGAGAUGGAGGACAAGAUGGACCAGGAGGGAUCCGUCAAGGGCUUCCAAACGCGAUCGUAAGGGUCGUCCGGGAACCUGUUCAUGAUAUCUCUCAGCGUUUCUGAAAUAAAAUUGUAUCUCCUUAUUUGGGUCAAUCGGUCCAUCGCCCGUUUCACACACCAGACCUCAGAAAUCAGGUCGCUUACUAAGGGAAUCUGAGAUUGCUCCCAUGGGCUUACAGGCUUUUUUGCCCAUUAUGUGCAGACACAGCUUUCAAGGGGAAAAUAUGAGGAAAACAUACUCCAUUUAUUAAAUGGAUCGAUAGAAGGGCGAUUUCUUGCAAAAAGAUUCUCAUUUUUAUUUUUUUAAACAUUAUUUUCUUUUAUUUUUUUUUCUAAAUAGUAUUUUUAUUCAAUAAAUACCUGAAAUUUUUGCUUACAAAAGUAGAAUGUAUUUUUUUCUCUCGUUAUAAUGCUUUAACCACCACCACCACAACAACAACAACAACAAAAUCUAUUUAAAAAAAUUAUAAAUAAACCAAACAGAAUCGAAAUGUAUUAUAAAUCAUUUGAUAUUAUCAUUCAAAUAGAUAUUUAUAAUAAUUUAUGAAUAAUAUCACUUAAAAAAUAAUAAAAAAUUAACUUGUUAUAAUGUUUAGUCACCAUAAUAAAAAGACUAUAUAUAUAUGUAUAUAUAUAUAUAUAUAUAUAUAUAUAUAUAUAUAUAUAUAUUCUAACCCUUAACCUUUGGUAACUUGAUUUGGUACAUCAUCACUAAACCAAUAGUUAAGAUAAAAAUACUAUAAAACCUACUUGAAAAUAUUGUCAAUGACCCAAAUAAAUUGUUGACCUUGACCACAUCAAUUCCAAGCCCAAAAUAUAUGGUUUUGUAACAGUUUACAAUAGGUAUAAUAUGAUAUCACUUACGAUAUUUUUUAAUCUUACUUAUAGUGUUUUCAAUACCUCAAUAAAAAUAUUAUAAAUGAGUCAAAUGAAAAUUACUAUGAUAAUUCAAAAUUAGAGGAAAAUUAGCAGAAAAUUUUGAUGGAAAUAGUUGGUGAAGAGUAUUUUGAAUAUUUUUUUGAAAUAAGGAUCCUAUUUGGGAAAAUCCAAAAGAAAUGACGUUCUUUAGAAAAAAAAAAAAUUUAAGACGUCUUCUAAGAAAAAUCGCCAUUCACAGAAACAAAAUAAAGAAGUGUAUGUUUCGCUUACCUCACGGAGUCGGAUGCUCCCAUGUUGCGCCGUGUGACGAGAACCACAGACUGCGAAGCAUUUACGUAUUCCCGGUAAUCACCGUUCUCAAAUGGCCGCAACUCCAACGAAGAUAUAAAAGGAGUUCCACCCCCAGUAUUAACCAAACAAACCGAUGUGGAAUUGGCAGUAGCAAGACUCAAAGCCUCGGCCGUAUAGAUAGCAGAUGGAUCGGAGAUGUUCAUCGUCUUCCAAUGAUUGACUCCGAUGUGAAGAUCAAAUUGUAUCUGGCUAUUCUUGCCAUCGUAGUUCCCGUACAUGAAAGUUGCUCUGACAAGAUACGUACUGUUCUGAGGCACAGGCUUUAAGGUGUAGCAAUUCCGGAGUCCAUCCGGAAAGCUUCUGAGAUUGAGUUGUAGCGUUGGAACAGAGGAGUUUAUGUAGUUUGAUUGGAUGUAGAAAUCUGAUCCCACGUCGAUAAAUCGGUCAUCGGAAACGUAUGUUAAACUUGUACUAUGAUCGACGUAAUCAGAUUUGGAAUUCCCACAGUCGAUGCUUAUAAAGCC